GGGGCUAAUACCGGAUGUGAUGAUAAUUUCGCAUGAUUUUAUUAUUAAAGGCGCUUUACGGUGCUGUUUACAGAUGAGUUUGCGUCCCAUUAGUUAGUUGGUAGGGUAAUGGCCUACCAAGACUUUGAUGGGUAGCCGGCCUGAGAGGGUGAACGGCCACAUUGGGACUGAGAUACGGCCCAGACUCCUACGGGAGGCAGCAGUAGGGAAUUUUGCGCAAUGGGCGAAAGCCUGACGCAGCAACGCCGCGUGAGUGAUGACGGCCUUCGGGUUGUAAAGCUCUGUUGGACGGGAAGAAAAGCCAUUAUAGUAACUGAUAUUGGUCUGACGGUACCGUUCGAGGAAGCUCCGGCUAACUACGUGCCAGCAGCCGCGGUAAUACGUAGGGAGCGAGCGUUGUUCGGAAUUACUGGGCGUAAAGGGAGCGUAGGCGGGUUUUUAAGUUAGGAGUUUAAUACGUGGGCUUAACCCACGUCUGGCUUUUAAUACUGCUAAUCUUGAGUUAGGGAGAGGAUGAUGGAAUUCCAGGUGUAGCGGUGGAAUGCGUAGAUAUCUGGAAGAACACCCACAGCGAAGGCAGUCAUCUGGCCCUUUUACUGACGCUGAAGCUCGAAAGUCGGGGGAGCAAACAGGAUUAGAUACCCUGGUAGUCCCGACCGUAAACUAUGAACACUAGCUGCCGGUAGAGUCAAUCCUUUCGGUGGCGUAGCUAACGCAUUAAGUGUUCCGCCUGGGGAGUACGCCCGCAAGGGUGAAACUCAAAGGAAUUGACGGGGGCCCGCACAAGCGGUGGAGCAUGUGCUUUAAUUCGAUGCAACGCGAAGAACCUUACCCAGGCUUGACAUGGGGGCGCAAGUCCGUAGAAAUAUGGAACCUUCCGCAAGGAACGCCCUACACAGGUGCUGCAUGGUUGUCGUCAGCUCGUGUCGUGAGAUGUUGGGUUAAGUCCCGCAACGAGCGCAACCCUCUCCCUUAGUUGCCAUCAGGUUAUGCUGGGAACUCUAAGGGUACUGCCUAGUUUAACUAGGAGGAAGGUGAGGAUGACGUCAAAUCCUCAUGGCCCUUACGCCUGGGGCUA
Molecule: ribosomal RNA, 1078 nt
Filed under: uncultured Chitinivibrionia bacterium
Lineage: Bacteria; Pseudomonadati; Fibrobacterota; Chitinivibrionia
Description: bacterial SSU rRNA
Rfam family: Bacterial small subunit ribosomal RNA
Source: RNAcentral